AUUGAACGCUGGCGGCAUGCCUUACACAUGCCAGUCGAACGGUAACAGGUUAAGCUGACGAGUGGCGAGCGGGUGAGUAAUGUAUCGGAACGUGCCCAGUCGUGGGGGAUAACUGCUCGAAAGAGCAGCUAAUACCGCAUACGACCUGAGGGUGAAAGCGGGGGAUCGCAAGACCUCGCGCGAUUGGAGCGGCCGAUAUCAGAUUAGGUAGUUGGUGAGGUAAAGGCUCACCAAGCCGACGAUCUGUAGCUGGUCUGAGAGGACGACCAGCCACACUGGGACUGAGACACGGCCCAGACUCCUACGGGAGGCAGCAGUGGGGAAUUUUGGACAAUGGGCGCAAGCCUGAUCCAGCCAUGCCGCGUGCGGGAAGAAGGCCUUCGGGUUGUAAACCGCUUUUGUCAGGGAAGAAAAGGUUCUGGCUAAUACCUGGGACUCAUGACGGUACCUGAAGAAUAAGCACCGGCUAACUACGUG
Molecule: ribosomal RNA, 477 nt
Filed under: uncultured bacterium
Lineage: Bacteria
Description: partial 16S ribosomal RNA
Rfam family: Bacterial small subunit ribosomal RNA
Source: RNAcentral